Molecule: long non-coding RNA, 288 nt
Filed under: Sinocyclocheilus grahami
Lineage: Eukaryota; Metazoa; Chordata; Actinopteri; Cypriniformes; Cyprinidae
Description: lncRNA (ENSSGRG00000046872.1)
Source: RNAcentral
AAUUGUCUUGUCGGCAUUGAAAAACUCAUAAUAUUCAUAAAUUGUUUAUAUGAUUUUCAGGAUGGGGCUGGUUUUACUGGUCAAGCAGGAUUCCCAGGCCCAAUGGGACCAAAGGGUGACAGAGGAGAACCUGGUUCACCAGGCUAUGGCAUUAAGGGGGAGAAAGGAGAAUCCGGACUAAUUCUUGGACCUGAUGGAAACCCACAUUACCUUGGUGGACUGACAGGCCAAAAGGUUUUUUGUUUUGUUUUGUUGUUUUUGGUUUGAAAGUGAAUUGGAUGUUGAAGU